Molecule: long non-coding RNA, 516 nt
Organism: Mobula hypostoma (lesser devil ray)
Lineage: Eukaryota; Metazoa; Chordata; Chondrichthyes; Myliobatiformes; Myliobatidae
Exons: 3
Source: RefSeq, a predicted model, not a curated record
CAGCAUUUUGUGUGUGUCGCUGAUGGAAUGGCCUGACUGGUUCUAUCACUGUCUGAGAUACGCCAUGAGACAGGACCAUCUGGCCCUCAGAGCCGCGACGACCCAGGAACCCAAGUAUUUAACCCUCGUCUAACCACAGGACAGUUAACCUACUCACCGGUAUGACUUUGACUGUGGGAGGAAUCGGAAGCAGCCGGAAGAAACCUUCACGUACACAAAAGGACAUAGGACAGCAGAACUGAUCUCUGAAUCGUCGCGAGCAGUGACAGCGUUGUGCUGACUGCUGUACCGUGACACUCUAAAGGAGAUCUGGAGUGACGGCAAGGAGCUGGCAGCAAUGGAGGGAGAGCCAGGACAUCACCUGAAAUGGAGGGAGGCCUUUAAUCCUAAGGAGAGAUGGGACGGGCUCACUACAAGGUACAACGCUGAGGCGUGACCUUCAGAAGAGGGAGAUAAAAUUGCUGGCCCAGCGUGAAUAUUGCGGGCAGCACAGUAACCCCCACCCGCCCCCGGUCA